RNAcentral lists this ribosomal RNA (239 nucleotides) under uncultured bacterium. RNAcentral describes it as "partial 16S ribosomal RNA". It matches the Rfam family "Bacterial small subunit ribosomal RNA", at positions 122 to 354 of the family's 1533-position model. The record is from RNAcentral.
UAACCUGCCCAAGAGACUGGGAUAACACCUGGAAACAGAGUGCUAAUACCGGAUAACAACACUAGACGCAUGUCUAGAGUUUAAAAGAUGGUUCUGCUAUCACUCUUGGAUGGACCUGCGGUGCAUUAGCUAGUUGGUAAGGUAACGGCUUACCAAGGCAAUGAUGCAUAGCCGAGUUGAGAGACUGAUCGGCCACAUUGGGACUGAGACACGGCCCAAACUCCUACGGAAGGCAGCAG